UGCGAGGCUUUAGUAAGACAGAGACUGUCGGUCUGGUCGGAUAAGCUAACCGCGUGCGCGCAGCAAAUCUCCGGGCGUGCUUAGGGACUCCAAGCUGAAACAGAGUUGAGCUCGCGUCGCGCGAAUAACCCUUUGAAUAAACGCAAAAAAACGUGAGGCAUUUUUGCAAAAAAAAAAUUGACGUCUUCCGCGUUUCGUCAGAGAAAAUUGCAGGUUUUUGUGAUCAGCGUCGACUUCAGUAGUACCCAAAAUUGAUUUGGUACAGUGCAGUUGAGGUCGAAAACGAAAUAGAGAAGAGUUCACAUUGCAAGUUCAGUAGAGAAGGUUUUGCUUUGGAAUUUAAUUGAGUGCUGAUUGCUGAGUGUUUAGAAAUAAUUAUAAGCUCCAGCCCUAGUUGAAAACGAUUCGAUCGUGUGCCGAUCUCACGAACGGUCUUGAAAAUCCUGACCGUGGACGGAGUUUGUGCAACAAGUUUAAGUGCAAUUGCAGAUCUCAACGUUAAGCGCGGCCUUAGAGUGAGGAUAGCGAAAAAUGGGAAAAUUGCAGAAUAGGUUUUGCUUAGUGCCAGUGAUGAUUGUGGUGAUUAGUGCAAUUGCUUGUCAAGCGAAUCAGCAUUCCAACAGUGAUUAUAGCGAAAAUCUGAAACAGCAGCAUUCAACAAAACAGCAAGCUCACCGUCAUCAUCAUCAACAUCACCAGCAUCACAAGCUGGACUCGGUGUCCUUAGGCAGCAGGAAUUCCUCUCGUUACUCUCUAAUUACGGGUAGUAGCAGCACCGGAAACAAUUACUACCAACCGCCAACAAAUAAUUAUCACUAUCAAUUCCACAAUACCGGCAGUACUGAUCAAAGACCCCAUUCUCAACACCAUAAUCAACAUCACCAACCUAGUAGACCUUCGGUAGUAACGCAGCAUAAUGUCCGCCGGCUGGACAAUCCUGGUAACCGGGGUAAAUACGGUGGUCCGUCGAAACCCCCGAAAACUAAUAAUUCUGGCAACACUGCCGGAUUGCGACCGGUGAAGCGAAUGCUGAAGAACAACAACCAUCAUCCCAGAAACAUAACCGGCAAAAACGUGUGCACCGAGAAGCGGACCGUCCAUGUGCCAAUCUACAGAAAGUCAUCCGUGAAACACUUUGUCCAGCCAUGUUCGGACCAGAAGCUGUGCUCCGGCGUACGUACCAAUUAUGAGCCAACCUACCACCAAGUGAAGCGAGAGGUUUACGCAUGCUGCCCCGGUUGGGAAACAACCAGCACCGUCACCGAAGGGUGUCAUAAACCCAUCUGCCGAAACGAAUGCCGUAACGGAGGACGCUGCACGGCCCCAGAUACCUGUACCUGUCCGGCGGGAUUCAACGGGCCCCAGUGUGAACUGGACAUCAACGAAUGCAAACAGCACAAACCGUGCGACCAGACGUGCUACAAUACGGAUGGAUCCUACUACUGCACCUGUCGAGACGGCUUUAUGCUCCAGGCGGAUCGACACAGCUGUCGGAAAAUGGAAACGACGAACGAUGUGGCGUUCGAAGCCAGAGAUAUGGAAAACGAUGUCGAUUACGAUAGCCUCGAUACGCGAUUAACCAAACUAGAGAAGAUAAUCUUCAACGAGGAUCGCCGAUCGAUAUCGGAGACCCAUGAGAUGAACAAGAAGGUCCAGUAUGCGAUGGAUGCGGUUUCGUCGCUGAGGGCGCAAGUUUCACGACUGACACAAAGGCUGUUUCCUACGGUGGACUACGGGAACCGGAUCUGAACCGAUGAAGCUCGAGGAGGUUAUUGGCCGUGAAGGCGGUGCCAUCCCGUAGGUUGUUGAUAAAGUCCAAAUCUCUCUUCAACGUAGAAUGUAUUUAUUGUAAAUUAAUUGCAGUUUAUUUUAUAAGAUUUUUACCAAACAUGUGCUUCCGAGAGGAUUCCCACUAAGUGACCCCUUUGAGUACAACGAAACAUUCACUGCCCACAACGAAGGUUCAUCGCAUAAAUUAGACGAUUGCAGCUACUAAGGCCAAAGUUUGCCCAGAAUUGUCAUCGAAAUAAAUUUCGAAACUGUGUGUCUAUUA
Molecule: RNA transcript, 2053 nt
Organism: Armigeres subalbatus
Lineage: Eukaryota; Metazoa; Arthropoda; Insecta; Diptera; Culicidae
Gene: slow
Exons: 8
Source: RefSeq, a predicted model, not a curated record